This 21140-nucleotide long non-coding RNA is filed under the name Prunus persica (peach). RNAcentral describes it as "long non-coding RNA (PPER_LNC004111)". The record is from RNAcentral. Lineage: Eukaryota; Viridiplantae; Streptophyta; Magnoliopsida; Rosales; Rosaceae.
UUACUUUGCUGGGCAAGAGACCACUUCUGUGCUGCUUGUUUGGACAUUGGUUUUACUCAGCCAAAAUCAGGAUUGGCAAGCUCGUGCAAGAGAAGAGGUCUUGCAAGUUUUUGGAACCAACAUCCCAACCUAUGAUCAGCUCAGUCACCUAAAAGUUGUAAGUACACAACUUUUAAUUUUAAAGUUUUCUAUCGAUUACGUAAAACAACAAAAAUUAAUCAGACAUUUGACAUGUUAGCACUUUCAGGCCUAAUUGGGAUGUGUGGAUUUGCUUCUAAACUUUUGAAUGUCAUCAAACAACUCAUUUUGUUGGAUUAGUGAUCACUUGAUGCUUUAUGAUGCCCCAGGUGACCAUGAUUUUACUUGAAGUUCUUCGAUUAUACCCAGCAGUUGUUGAGCUCCCACGAACUACUUACAAGAAAACACAGCUUGGAAAGUUCUCAUUGCCGGCCGGAGUCGAAGUCUCCUUACACAUAAUGCUUGCUCACCAUGAUAAAGAAUUGUGGGGUGAGGAUGCAAAGGAGUUUAAACCAGAGAGGUUUUCAGAAGGAGUUUCAAAGGCAACAAAGAACCAGUUUACAUACUUCCCUUUCGGAGCUGGUCCACGGAUUUGCAUUGGACAGAACUUUGCUAUGCUGGAAGCUAAAUUGGCCUUGUCAUUGAUUCUACAACACUUUACCUUUGAGCUCUCUCCAUCGUAUGCUCAUGCUCCGUCCGUAACUAUAACCCUUCAUCCACAAUUUGGUGCUCAUUUCAUUUUACACAAACGUUGAUUAGUGCUGAAGUAUAUCGAUUGUGGGCAAAAAGUUUAAUGAUAAAGACACACCAAAUAAAGAUAGCCAUAGUUUGAGCCACAUGAAUAUUUUCUUAUAAUUGUCGUUACUUACUUGUAGCGAAUACAUGAGAUGAGUUUAUAAGAAAAAAAGAAUUUGACUGAUGGAAGGUUAUCUGUCAGCCUCACUUUGCCACUAUAUUCGAUCUACUAAUGGCUUGCACAUUAUUAAUAUUUAAAUAGUGAACCUGCAAACGAGGACUCGCUAAUGUAAUGGUUUGCAGCAAUUGUUAUUUCUCCAUAAAAAGUUAUGGAUUCGAGUCUUAGCAUUCGUGUAGUGUGUAUGAGUUUAGUAAUACUAUCACUCCACCUUGUGAAACUGUUGAAUCAUACAUAUAACAUAAAAAAGAAUCCCUUCAAUCUCCACGUCCUUGCUAGCUUCUUGAUUUAACAUAUUAAUCAAACUAAGUGAAUCUGAUGUUGGCGAGUCCUUACUUAGUUAGGAUUUUGGUUACUUACCUAUUUAUCUAGUCCUAUUAUAAUUGAGAUUUAUUUUAUAUUGUAAUUUGGAUUUAUUUCCUAUUUUAUUUAGGGUUAACACAUCUUGGACUUGUAUAAAUACCUCAAUAUUGGAAAAGAAUAAUAAUCUGAGUGAAUAUGAGCAUAUCUAAAUAUUUGCCAUACUUUGUUUGACAUGGUAUCAGAGUCAGGUUCAUAACCUGUGAUAACCUUUGCCAAAUUGAGAGUCGUUGACACUCCUUAUUCCUAACUCAUCAUGGGUCUUCAUCUUGUAUAGUCAUCUUCUUUUGUUCAUCCUCUUAUAUGUGUUUUCACCGCACCUAGCCUUCACAUGCUUCUUUGCUACUGUUCCAAAUUUUUUAUUUUUCAUCUUUGUAUGCCAGAUGGUCUUUCUUGAUGUCUCAGCUUCUCUAUCUUUGAAACUUCAUAACAAGUCUCUUUACUCCAUAAGCCUCAUCACCUCUCACCGAGCCGUUGCUGUCCUCCACGAGCCUCGUCACCGCUCGCCGAGCCUUUCCUUUGACUGUUAUGCGGGUCUCUGUCUUCUUCGGCUGCUCUCUUGAGUUGCCUUUCCGCUUCUCAAUUUGAGCACUUUAUCUUUGUCUUUGUCUUUGUUCAUGAUUUGCUGGGUUUCCUCUCUUACUAUUCUCAUUUUCUGUAGUUUUUUCUUCAUGGGACAGUCGUAUGCUAUCACCUUCCCCUCUUACAUUUGUUUCUGCCAUGAGACUGGCAUGUUUGAGUCUCUUUACUAUUAUUUCAAUAUCUGUUCUUUCAAAUCUCGACCCUUUACCAGUGUCGGAUUUGAUGGUGAGAUAGAUGCAACUUUAUUUGAGUGUUGCAACUUUAUUUUUUGGUAUUGCUUUCUCCAAAUCUCGACUCUCAUACAUUGUCGAAUUUGAGGGGGAGUGACACUGCUGCUCAUCUAUUCCGCUGCAAUUUGACACCACUACUCAUUUAUUCCGCUGCAAUUCACCUACCUAUUUGCCAUGGCUGAUUCUUUUACAUCUGAGCGUUAGUUAGCUUCUGUUUCUUAAGUGCCACCUUUUUUUAUAGUUCCGACGACCCCUUCUCUUCAGGGGGACAGGGGGAGUGAAGAGAAGUUGUCUCUGCAAUAAUGGAAGUAUUUGUCAUUGUUAUUGUUGCUGACUACUAUGUUCUUUACUGGCGCCAGUACAGUUGCUCAUACCUGUUAAGUUUCUUACUGGGGACAAUGUUAUUGCUCCUGCCUAUUAUGACUCUUGUUGGGGACAGUGUUGAUUACUGUUGAUGAUACUUGUUAUGUCCAUGCCUUGUUGCUCUUACUGGUGCCAGUGCCUUGUAUUGCUGUUGUUAGUACCAGUAUUGUUACUCCUGCCUGUUAUGGUGCAAAUAUUGUUGCUCAUGUGUUUGCUGGUGUGUUUCCGUUGUGGUCACGCCCGUUGACCUUACCUUUGCUCUUGACUUUCUUUGCCUUACCUAUUGCCAUGCUCACAGGAUUUUUGUGUUAUGCCUUAUCUGCUGCCGUGCUCACAGGGUUUCUGUGUUAUGCUUUACCUAUUGUCGUGCUCACAGGGUUUCUGUGUUUUGCCUUACCUAUUGCUGUGCUCAUAGGGUUUCUGUGUUUUGCCUUAUCUACGGCCAUGCUCACAGGAUUUCUGUGUUCUGCUAUGUGCCAUAUUUUUUAGGGUUUGCUCUUGUGUUUCCGCUGCGAACUUUGCUUUAGUUUGUCACUUGUUUCACUCGUGGUUGACUAAAAGAUUUUUUCUACAAUUGGUGCUUCUCAAAUAUGUUGUUCUGUGACUCGCUUGUCAAGUUGGGCCUGCGAAAUAUCUUUUCUCAACUUGAGGAGGACUAGUGUUGGCGAAUCCUUACUUAGUUAGAAUUUGAGUUCCUUACCAUGUUAGGAUUUUGGUUACUUACCUAUUUAUCUAGUCCUAUUAUAAUUGAGAUUUAUUUUAUAUUGUAAUUUGGAUUUAUUUUCUAUUUUAUUUAGGGUUAACACAUCUUUGUAUUUGUAUAAAUACCUCCAUAUUAAAGAAAGAUAAUAAUAUAAAUGAACCUGAGUAUAUCUAAAUAUUUACUCUACUUGAUUUGACAUCUGAUUCCACCACUACCGUAUCAUACCCAAAUUCCAAGCAACGGAUUAGAGCUUCCCGCACCGCCUCAGCCUCCACCAUUAAAGCUGACACGCAGAGCAAAUCCCCGUGCCACCUGCACAAUGGAAAUAGCCAAUGCCAUCCCGAAGUACCCACCCCACCCCUUGGCCUAUUUUCAUCGUCAGCUUGCACAACCACUCCAUUGAAGACUACCUCAUUUCGAUAUUUCCAAAUCCACUAGAGGACAAAAGCCACUAUUUGCAAAACAUCACAUCUCCAAUCUUGAGUUUCAUUCAAGGCCAGCAAUCCCAUCCAGCAUGCCAUAAAAUCUCCACCUCUGAGUUGUCGUAUGUCAAGUUGCAGGGGACUUGCAAACCUUGGAUUCAAUAUACAAAAAAAAAUUAUUGUGUGAUACUGGAAUAUGACUAUACGUGAUAUGUUAGCACACUAUAGUUAAUAAUUACUCCCAACACACACAUUAUAAUGUGGAUGAAAUUGAUAAGCUCAAGUUGAUAUGUUACUGUCACACUCAAUAUUACUUUAAAUAUUAUAAAACUAAAGAAAUUAUGAAGAGAAUAUAGAGAAUACAAAUAGCAAUAGAAAUGCUCUUCUGAUAUUUUCAUUGAGUCUUGCUCUCUCAAUUACAAAUGAGAAUGAAGCCAUGUUUUAUAGGCAAAACCUUGCCUAACAAUUAGGUAAAAAGAAAGCUCCUGAAAGGUGUACAUAAAUUUCCGCCCAACAUAUGAGCUCCACUUAUUAACUUCACAACAUCAAGAACCAUACAAUUGUAAUUUGUAUUUUUCAGGUGGUGCCAAUUUACUCAUGUUAUAAUUUCUUCAUUUAACCUUGUUACAAUUAACACGUGUACGGUUUUAAUUUCAAUCAUACACUCUCCAACACUCGGUCAUUAUUUUAUGUCUUUGUUUCUGACUCUAUUAAUGUUUCAAUUUUCUACAAAGAAGAAGGGACCGCGGCUUUCUAAAGAGGUCACACUCCAAAUUCGUCACUUUUCUUCUAGAAACGGUAUCUUUUCGUUAUCUACGCCACCAAUUAUCCCACGUUAUUUCUAGAAGCUAGAAUAAGACAGGCCUAGUAGUGACUAGUUAGUGGAGAUUAUCCGAUGCGCCGACUUCAUCCAAUGUGAAAGUAACGACAGAGAUCACUCAACGCUUUCAGGAUCACCUUCCCUAAACGCAUAAAACGCAUAAAACGACACACAGCACACAGCAGAUUCUUAACCCAUUACCUUUUUGAUAAUAUUGUAGGUAACUACAAGGGUUGCGUCUGGGAUAUGAUUUUUGGCUGUUAUUAGCAUGUCGGUGAAGGGUUUUGAUAGGACAAAAGUUUGUGCAAUGAUUAUACUGUAUAUGAAGUUCCGUGGUUAAAUUUCACCCAUUAUUUGAGAUCUAACAUGUAUAAAAACCUUGCAUCAUCAUCUCCUCCCCCUCCAAACAAGUUCUCUUCAGUAGAACAGAAUCCAUCUCUCUUUCUCUCACAGAUUAAGUACAGAUGGAAGCAUCAAGGGCUACUUGUGUUGCGCUAUGUGUUGUUUGGGUGGGCAUAGUAAUUACAUGGGCAUGGAGGGUGCUGAAUUGGGUGUGGUUGAGGCCAAAGAAACUAGAAAAAUGCUUGAGGGAGCAAGGCCUUGCAGGCAAUUCUUACAGGAUUUUGUUUGGAGACACCAAGGAUCUCUCAAAGAUGCUCGAACAAACACAAUCCAAACCCAUCAAACUCUCCACCUCCCAUGAUAUAGCGCCACGUGUCACCCCAUUUUUCCAUCAAACUCUGAACUCUUAUGGUAUGCCAAAUCUUUAUUUACAUUCACAUAUCCGUUGUUAGAAUUUAGGAGGUGUGUGAUUCUGACAUCGUUAUUGGUUUAUGUGAUGAAGUGGUUUAAGACAAUCUUUGCCUAUUUAUAGGCAAUCUUUGUCGACAUCACCAAGAAGUCCACCGACUUGGUUUCAUAUAUAAUAUUCUAUAUUGUACAAUAUUAUUUGUGUGGCUAUUGUUUAGCCAUCAUGCUCCACCGCCUUGUUCUUUUCUCCAGCCACAAGUGUGUGGCUUCAUCUAGAAUAUUCUUUUCAUAUUUUUUGUGUGUUGCCGACAUUCCAUCAUCUAGUUUGUAGUUUCUUGAGUUUUCUAGAAUUCUGUAGUUACAUCUACAAAAAUAUGCAUUGCUUUUUCAACAUCCAUGUAUAUAUGUGUGUAAUCUUCAGCUUGGAUGAGUUAAAACAUAAAUAAAAAAGGAGAUUUAUUAUUAUACCUAAAUAAUAAUAAAAAUAUUAUAUAAAAUAGACUUUAGAUACACACUUAAAAUUCAUUUACAACAUAACAAAGAGAUUUUAACUUCUUAUAAAUUACAAAACUGUCAUCAAUUUAUUAAAAUAAAUUCAACCUCAAAACCUCAUAAAAAUAACCAAAACACUGAAUAAGGCAUUAAAUCUUAGUUGGGAUGCUUAUGCCAGAGUUUCUUCGAUCAUACCUGAUCGUUAGUGGAGACACACCAGAUUGUUUUAAUUUUAAUAUUAGACCGCUUUGUUAUUGUAAUGGCCCUUUUAUAGCGAGUUUGUAUUGGCCCUUUGUGGCUAGUGGCUUUUUUAGCUGAAUUAUGAAUGCAAUCAUAGAAUUUCUCAACAAAAAAGAAAGGCAUCAAAGAAAUUUAAUAAACAAAAUUAAAUGCAAUAAGGUCAGCUGUCAUUUUUUGAGUUUGUUUAUAGAAAUUAAAUGAUAUAUAAUUUAUCUACAUUAUUAGUGCUAAGAAUGGAUAUAUAUAACUAAAUAUCUCAAAUGAAAAUUGCAGGGAAGAAUUCUUUUGUUUGGAUGGGCCCCAUACCAAGAGUGCACAUCAUGAAUCCGGAAGAUUUGAAAGAUACCUUCAACAGACAUGAUGAUUUUCAUAAGGUAGUAAAAAAUCCUAUCAUGAAGUCUCUACCACAGGGCAUUGUAGGCAUUGAAGGUGAUCAAUGGGCUAAACACAGAAAGAUUAUCAACCCAGCAUUCCAUUUAGAGAAGCUAAAGGUAUUGUAAGCUCUCACCAACAUCCCUAUAUGUUGAAAAUUUUGGUUUUUUUUUUCUAUUUUGGUUUAUUUAUUUUUCCUUGUUUGCUAUAGGGUAUGGUACCAAUAUUUUACCAAAGUUGUAGCGAGAUGAUUAACAUAUGGAAGAGCUUGGUGUCCAAAGAGAGUUCAUGUGAGUUGGAUGUGUGGCCGUAUCUUGAAAAUUUUACCAGCGAUGUGAUUUCCCGAGCUGCAUUUGGAAGUAGCUAUGAAGAGGGAAGGAAAAUAUUUCAACUACUAAGAGAGGAAGCGAAAGUUUAUACGGUGGCUGUGCGAAGUGUUUACAUUCCAGGAUGGAGGUAAAAAUGAAAGAAAAGAAUAAUCAUCUGAGACUGGGAGAGUACCCAUUGAAGUGCUGCUUUUUUGUGCAGGUUUCUACCAACCAAGCAGAACAAGAAGACGAAGGAAAUUCACAACGAAAUUAAAGGCUUACUUAAGGGCAUUAUAAAUAAAAGAGAAGAGGCUAUGAAGGCAGGGGAAGCCACUAAAGAUGACUUACUAGGUAUACUUAUGGAGUCCAACUUCAGGGAAAUUCAGGAACAUGGGAACAACAAAAAUGCUGGAAUGAGUAUUGAAGAUGUAAUUGGAGAGUGUAAGUUGUUUUACUUUGCUGGACAAGAGACCACUUCGGUGUUGCUUGUUUGGACAAUGGUUUUACUAAGCCAAAAUCAGGAUUGGCAAGCUCGUGCAAGAGAAGAGGUCUUGCAAGUCUUUGGAAGCAACAUCCCAACCUAUGAAGAGCUAAGUCACCUAAAAGUUGUAAGUGUGGAUUUGCUUCUCCAAACUUUUGAAUUUCGUUAAACAACUUUCAUCUCAUUUUGUUGGAUUAGUCUCACUUGAUGCUUUAUGAUGCCCUUAGGUGACCAUGAUUUUACUUGAAGUUCUUCGAUUAUACCCAUCAGUCGUUGCGCUUCCUCGAACCACUCACAAGAAAACACAGCUUGGAAAAUUAUCAUUACCAGCUGGAGUGGAAGUCUCCUUGCCCAUACUGCUCGUUCAUCAUGACAAAGAGUUGUGGGGUGAGGAUGCAAAUGAGUUCAAGCCAGAGAGGUUUUCAGAGGGAGUUUCAAAGGCAACAAAGAACCAAUUUACAUACUUCCCUUUCGGAGGGGGUCCAAGGAUUUGCAUUGGACAAAACUUUGCUAUGAUGGAAGCUAAAUUGGCCUUGUCAUUGAUUUUACAACACUUUACCUUCGAGCUUUCUCCACAAUAUUCUCAUGCUCCAUCCGUAACUAUAACCCUUCAACCCCAAUAUGGUGCUCAUCUUAUUUUACAUAAACGUUGAUUAGUGCUGAAUUAUAUCUAUCAUUAAUGUUAAUGAUAAAGACACAUCAAGAUAGCUAUGGUUUGAACCGUAAUUUUCUUUAUGUACUGUGUCGUUUGUCCUUAUGGGAUAAUUGGAAGAGUCAUUGCACUACCUUUGUUGUUAAUUUUUUAAUUGUUUUGGUUAAUGGCCGUAUAUGAUUUCUAAUGUCUCAAUUUCUUAAUUAUGAAAACUUAAGUAAAUGUCAAGCUGCUUAGUACAAGGUCAAAAUGCGUAUAAGGACAUUUCUGUAAUUUUGUCCAAAAAUAAUGCAUAUAUGAAAUAAAGUUCUGAAAUAAAGUUCUACAAUAAAGAUGAUUGCAGUGAGAUAUAACUCAGUUGGUUGAGUUUUUUGACAUCAAGUUUCAGUCUUACCGGAUAUGAGAAAAUAAAAAAUGCACCCACCUCAAUCUUUUAACUAUUUUUAAGGUGCAAAAUGACCAAUUUAUCCUUAAAUUGCCUAACAUACUUGACACAUAAUAUUUUUUAACAGCAAAUUGGAUAGAAUGUGAGGAAAUAGGGAUGAACCAUAGAAGCUACUAACCUGGGCUAUAGGCUAUAGCCCGGGCAAUUUUUAAUUUUUUUUUUCAGCCCAAAAUACAUAUUGCACAGCACAUCACCAAUUCAAAGUAUAUUUUUAAAAUCAAAACUCAAUUAUACCCUUUUCUAACCUAUUCUCUCUCUUCUACCGAACAACCCACUCAAGUAAAAAUAUUUUUUAUUUCCUCCUUUUGGCAUUAUGGAUGCCAAAGCUCAAACCUAGGUUGCAUUGGGCUUAUCCCCAAAAAAAAAAAAAAAAAAAAAAAAAAAACUUCUUAACACUUAUUGGGAAUGAAGUUUUUUGCUUUUUGUGUUUUUUGUUUUCAGUUGAAGUGAAUGUUUCACUCAUAGCUAGAUAUAUAUAUAUAUUAUUUAUUUAUUUUAUAAAUAAUUCAUUUAUAUUGUUAAGUUUUCUAUUUUUUUAGUAAAUUUGUACAUUAAAUAAAUUUAGCCUAUUUUAUAUUGAAAUUCUGAAUCCGUCUGUAUGGGAAAAAUUGAUUAAAAAAAUAUUUCGGAUCCUUAAUUUAAAAAAAAAAGAAAAAAAAAAGAGUAUGGGCUAAAUUUAAAAUUAAGUAUAAGUUCAUGAGCCACAUCAAUAUUUUGACCUUUUUGGAUUAUUAAAAGUGUGCAAGAAAUAUUUAAAAUUUCUUGAGGUCAAAUGGUAAUUUGGUGGUCAUGAGAUGAAAAUACGUGUGAUUACGCGUAUGUAAUAUUUUUCAAGAAAAUUUUCAGAGCUCAAAUGAAUUUUCGGUGGAAUUGUGUAGAUAUAAUAAAAGAGUACACAUGACAUCAAUUUAUUGGACAUUACUGACACGUGGAAUAAUUGGGAGCGCCAGUUAUGACAUGUGUUGUGCCAUCACAACAACAUAUAGUGAUAUGGUGAGAGGUUAUUGGACCGCCACAAAGUGAAAAAAAACUGAAAGGGUAAAGUUGGGCACGUGAGUUAUCCUUUUCGAAACUUUUCGACAAGGACACACUAAGAGCUCGAAUUAUUCUAGGAAGUGAAUGAUUUAGUUUUAAUUUGUUGUAAUUACUUACCCUUUGUAUAAUCUUAUUGUAACCUUUUAGGGUUUACAACUUUGUACAUCUUUAUAUUGGAGAAGUAUAUAUAUAUUAGAAACUUACUAUAUACUUUGUUUGGCAAAGAUUAAUAACAUUAUAUUGUAAAUUUGGCUUACCCCCUUCAAAUUGAAUUUUUCUUAACUGCAAUCAAUCAUUUUUUGUUCCUAUUAAAAUUCAUUUUUUAUAAGUAAAAACCCUUAAUUAGGAUCUACCUUAUCAAGCUCAAGAUUUGAUUUUACAGUAAUUUUCUGAUUCCCAAAAUACCCCUACGUAUUUGCAGUUGUUGUUUUCUCCAUUGAUGUUGUGCUAAAUAUACUUUGAACAUAUUUGUUGCAAUUCAAUGUCAUUAAUAUUCAAAUGGUGUAUUGUUUAAAUAGGAAAAUGGUUCUUUAAAUUGGCUUAAAUUUAGGAAUUUUUAGGGUAAGCUUUUUUAUCUUUAAAAAAAAAAAAUUAAUAUUCAGCAUCUAAAAAUGUCACAUUUAGCCUAAUGAAUUUAAGAAGAAACAUUAAUAUACCUAUCACGUUUCAACAUAAAAUAAUGUAACAAAUAAAUUAAACAAGCACACACCAUAUUCUGUAUAGGCUAGCUAUAAGGGACUGAUCACUAAAUAUUUCUAGUGGGGAAGGGGGCAAAAUUGUGAGCCUAGAUAUAUAGCUAAACCAGUAUUAGACAGACUCAAUCUCAAUGCUCUAGCUCAUGAUUGUUUCUGGGCGGCUUGCGGCGACCCAUUCCUUGAUAAUCUUUAUGCAUCAGGUCCACUAUCUCUCUUGUUGCCUUAAGAAGCCUUCUUGCUUCAUCUGUCUAUUAUUUGUACCAAUUUUUUAAUGAAUAAUAUACCUAUUUUUUUACAUAUCUUUUGUAAAUAUACAUAUUUUGUAUACCUAUAAAUAACGUACCUAUUUUUAAAAUAAAAAAUAUACCUAAUUUUAAUUUAUGAAAAAUGUGCAGAAAUUUCAAUUACACACCGUACCUAUUUUCUAACCCCAAAAAAAAAAAAAAAACCUUACUCUCUUUUGUAAAUAAUGUACUUAUUUUUAAUUUAUAAAAACAUUAACAGAAAUUUCAAUUACAAAGUAACAAAUCUUUUAAAAAAUAAUAAUAAUAAAUGACCUAUAUUAUAUACAUUUUUAUAAUUUUUUAUAGGUACAUUAUUUAUUGGAUAUGUAAUUUAGGGAUUUUUUGUUUGUUUAUUUUAGGGAUUGGCAAUGUGUAGAGGGAUGCCAAUCAAAAGAGUCUCCAAAUUUUAGCUAAAAUAACUAGAAAGAUAUUAUAGCAAACUACCUAAAAAGAAAUUUCUUUUGAAUUUGGAUUUUUUGCCAUUUGCAAGGAAAUAGCUAGUCACUCAUUUCUAUCUCCUUCUCUCUAAAUGUAGAGAGCCACCAAAUUCAAAUAGGGAGUUCUCCAAAAUGGAGAGCUAGAUAGCAAAUCAGUUGGAGCUGCAUUUUGCCUUUAUUUUAGCCAAAAUAGCUAAAGAGCAGAGUAUACCGACUCUAAUGGAGAUACUCUUAUAAAUAGGAAGAUUUAAAUUUGGUUCAAUUGUUUUAGUUGAUGGUGUAAUGCAUGUGUUGAAUUAUUAAAUCAAAUUGAGUUUUUCUCUAAAGUUGAUAACUACAUUAUCUCCUUGUUUUGGGUAAUUUUUUUUUAUAGGUACAUUAUUUAUUGGAUAUGUAAUUUAGGGAUUUUUUGGUUGUUUAUUAUAGGGAUUGGCAAUGUGUAGAGGGAUGCCAACCAAAAUAAAUGGGGUGAUUGAUAUGCUAUUAAUAGGGAGUAUUAAUUAUAAUUAAGGUAGUUAAUGACAUACUUGAAAUAAAUUAUAAAUUAAAUAUGAAGGGAAGUGGCAUAUAAUUUAAUUUAAUUAAUAAUAUUAGGACAAAUCUAUCUCACAACCUAUUUUAAAUUUGGGUUUUCAGUAAAGAAAAAGUAUGUGGGCAUAUAACUAGGAUAUAGUAGUUGUAAGGUUCUAUAUCAUAAGAACUUUGGAUUAUAUACAUGAAGAAGUUCAUGCAUUUGGAAUAAAUGCUUUAUUCAUCCAUUUGGGAUUAACUAGGUUCAUGAUUUAUUUUUUCAUUCAUGCAUUUGGAUUAAAUGCUUGUUCAUGCAUUUGGGAGUAUUUGGAUUUUAUGAUUUCGAGCAUCGUCAAGAGAGUCUCUAAAUUUUAAACAAAAAAGUUAGAAAGAUAUUAUAGCAAAUUAGCUGGAUCUGCAUUUUGCCCUUAUUUUAGCCAAAAUGGCUAAAGAGCAUAGUAUACCGACUCUGAUGGUUGAGAGAUUUGUUUGAGUUGAUGGUGUAAUGCAUGACUUGCAUUAUUAAAUGAAAUUGAGUUUUUCUCUAAAGUUGAUAACUACACUAUCUCCUUGUUUUGGGUAUUCUUAGAAUCAACAAGGCUUGAAAAUCUACACUCUUCUUGUUCUAUAUAUUCUUAGAAUCAAACAGAGCUUGGAAAUUGAUUUCAACGUGUAUCUUUUCGUCUUGCUCAAAAGUGUCGUUGCACCACACUCUCUCUCUCUCUCUCUCUCUCACACACACACACACACACACACACACACACACACACACACACACACACACACACAAAUGGAAGUAUCAGUUGUGGCCAGUGUUGCACUACGUGUUUUUUGGGUGAGCAUAGUAAUUACAUGGGCAUGGAGGGUGCUGAAUUGGGUGUGGCUGAGGCCGAAGAAGCUAGAAAGAUGUCUAAGGCAGCAAGGUUUGGCGGGCAACUCGUACAGGCUUUUGGUAGGAGACACGAAGGAAAGCUCCAUGAUGGUGAAAGAAGCGAAAUCUAAACCGAUGAACCUCUCCCAUGAUAUAACGCCACGCGUCCUUCCUUUUCUUCAUCAGUCUGUGACCACUUAUGGUAUGCCAAGUAUCUUUUGACAUUUCGUUUACCAUGGUUAAAUUAGAAAUAAUCAAUUUUUGUGUGUCUGUUUUACAUUCUUGAAGCUUUUUUAUUAUUUAUUUUAAUUUUAUUAAUGUUACACUUUUUUUAUUUUGAUAUUUGGUUGCUUCGGUGUAUUUCUUAUUUCCUUUUCAAUUGAUUAUGAACAUCAAUAUAGGUCUGCCAAAUAGGUAAGUUUUCUUCACAUUGACGUCCCUAUCAAUUUUCUUUCUCUCUUUUUUUUCUCCUCCUUUUUCAUUUGGGUAGUGCUAGGCUUACCACAUUUUUAUAUCACAUUGUGUACUACCUACCACCUCUUUAAUAAGGAUGGAGCCCACCUCUAUUAGAGAGGUGAUACACAAUAUGGUAUAAAAAUGUGGUAAGUCUAGCAUUUUCCUUUUCGUUUAUCUUCUUCUUCUUUACUUCUCUUGUUCGUCUUGCUUCUUUGUAUAGAGUUGUUUUUGGUCGAAUGGUUCUUUUUAUAGAUAGUUGUUUAUGGGGACAAGAAUUUUUCUAGGUCAUUUGUGGGGUUUAUAUUCACUACCUAUUAAAUUGGUUUGAGUGCCGAGAUACUCUACCUAACAAAGGGCACUAAUUUGUAUGAGAUGGGUCACAUGACAAUAAUCUCUUGAAGGGGAAAAAAGCUACAAAAAUUAAAUACAAUAAUCUCUUCAACAUUUUUAGUAUGAGAUGGGUCUAUAAUAAAUGACCUCUGGUUGUUCAUCAGUAAUUCUAAAAUCUCUGGAUGAUUCGUGAUCAAUGUAAAUAACUUAUUUUAUUAUUUUCGGAAAUACAUGUGUAAUUAGUUUCUUAUAAGUUACAACAUUUUUGUGAAAACAAAAAUGCAGGUAAGAAUUUUUUUAUUUGGAUUGGGCCCACACCAAGAGUGAACAUCAGUAAUCCAGCGGAUGUGAAAGAUGUAUUUACAAACUACGAAGAUUUUCAGAAGCCAGUAAUAAAUCCACUUGUCAAGUUCCUGGCAACAGGUCUGCCAAACUAUGAGGGCGAGAAAUGGGCAAAACACCGUAAAAUCAUCAACCCGGCAUUCCAUUUAGAGAAGCUAAAGGUUAUAAUAGUCUAGUAGAAAAAGACCUUGAUUUGUGAUAAGAGGUCUUAAGUUUGAACUUUCAUAACAUCUUAAUUCUGUGUGUGUGUGAGAAACUCCCCUCAUUCUCAUUUAGUUUAGACUAUCGCUUGUACUAAAAAAAAAAUUCUUUUGUAACGUAAAAUGUCUUUUCAACCGAUGCAUUAAAAAAGUUUCUACACACAUGUGAUGAUUAUUUAUCUAGGUAAUUAGAUGUGUGCUAUAUUUGCUAUGUAAUUAAUGUUAACAAACUCUGAGUUCUUGUUUGUUUGUGUUUUCCUUUAUUUCCUAUAGCGUAUGUUACCGGCAUUUCACCAAAGUUGUAGUGAGAUGAUUGAAAAAUGGGAGAGGUUGGUGUCUAAGGAGGGUUCAUGCGAGUUAGAUGUUUGGCCUUACCUCGAAAGUUUGGCAGCUGAUGUGAUUUCUCGAGCAUCAUUUGGGAGUAGCUAUCAAGAAGGAAGGAAAAUAUUUCAACUCUUGAAAGAGCAAGCAAAACUUACAAUAAGAGCUUUACAAAGUUUUUACAUUCCAGGAUGGAGGUAAAACCCUUUUAGGGCUAGCCAGUAACUAUAGAUUUUUUAACCAUUGAUGAAGUUGUCUUGGUGCAGGUUUCUACCAACUAGGAGUAACAAGAGGAUGAAGGCGAUUGACAAGGAAAUAAAAGGUUCACUGAGGGAUAUUAUUAGUACAAGAGAAGAGGCAAUUAGGAUGGGUGAAGCUGCAAAAGAUGACUUAUUGGGUAUACUAAUGGAGUCUAACUUGAAGGAAAUUCGAGAAAAUGGGAACACCAAGAACGUUGGGAUGAGCAUUGAGGAUGUGAUUGAAGAGUGCAAGCUGUUUUACUUUGCGGGGCAAGAGACCACUUCAGUGUUGCUUCUUUGGACACUAGUUUUACUCAGUCAAAAUCAGAAUUGGCAAGCUCGUGCAAGAGAUGAGGUUUUGCAAGUGUUUGGAAGCAAUAAACCAGACUUCGAUGGGCUAAGUCACCUCAAAGUUGUAAGUACUCACAUUAUAUAUCCUUUCACAGUUUUAUGUUGAAAAAUUUCUUGCCUCUUAACAAACAAACAAAGCAAAUGAAUCAAACUUUUUAUGAGUCCAAUUUAAAAGGACAAUAACAAAACAUUUUCGUAAUAGUGGAAUUGCUUGAGCUGUGAUCGAUGCCAUAUACUCACUUAGUAUACAUGUAGAUGUGGAAGGAAGGACCUGAAAUCUCUUGAAUAUCGAUAACUUCAAAUUUUGAUUCAAUUAUACCAUCACGUUAUUUGGUGAAUAAAAUUUGGUGAACAGAUAUAGUGCUCUUAAUAUAUAGCUUUACUUGGUGAGGGAAGAGGAUUAUUUUUAUAAACCUAGCCUCUAAAGGUUUGGAUGUCUUUAAUCUCAUUUUGUUGGUAUGUGCUUUGAUGUUGUAGAUGAAUUUCAUUGGGGUAAUGAGAUUUUCAUGAUAUAAAAUAUAUGACUCUAAAAUGCCUUCAGGUAACCAUGAUUUUACUUGAAGUUCUUCGAUUAUACCCGUCAGUUGUUGCGCUUCCUCGAACCACUCACAAAAAAACACAGCUUGGAAAAUUAUCACUGCCUGCUGGAGUGGAAGUCUCCUUGCCCAUACUGCUUCUUCACCAUGACAAAGAAUUGUGGGGUGAGGAUGCAAUUGAGUUCAACCCAGAGAGGUUUUCGGAAGGAGUUUCAAAGGCAUCAAAGAACCAAUUUGCAUACUUCCCUUUUGGAGGGGGUCCAAGGAUCUGCAUUGGACAAAACUUUGCUAUGUUGGAAGCUAAAUUAGCCUUUUCAUUGCUUUUACAACGCUUUACCUUCGAGCUCUCUCCAUCAUAUGCUCAUGCCCCAUCCUUAAUUAUAAGCCUUCAACCUCAAUAUGGUGCUCAUAUUAUUUUACAUAAACGUUGAUUAGUGCUGAGUUAACGUUAUUGAUAAAGCCACAUCAAAUAAGAUUGAACCAUGUAUAUUGUGGUACUAUUUAUAUUUUUUCAUAAUUUUCUUUACAAAUUGUAUUUCUCUUAUACCAUUUUAAAAAAAAUACAAAAAAACUUGAAUAAGUGAAUGUGAAGCUGCUUAGGGCCUGUUUGAUAUCCUAUCCAAGUAUGGAACUCAAAAAUUGCUAUUUUUCUUAAAAACAAGGAGUUCUCAAAUCCAUUUUUUAAGAUUCAAAAAUUUGUUUGGUUGAAUUCUUUAGAACAAUUUUUUUCUUCAUUUUUUAUAAUUAAGAUAUUUUGAUAAACAUUAUUAAAAGUAUAUUAAACAUACUAUUUUAAUAUUCAUAUUUUAAUACCAUACAUGUAUGAUGUAUGAUUGACAAGCUCAAUUGGUCUUCAAGUCAUAAAUAAUACAUUUUUAAUUAAAACAUUCUAGACUAAAUAAAUUAUAAGACUAAUGAUUUUGAAGAUAAUCCAUCCGCAUUGCUCCGGCAAUGUGAUCUCUAGCAUCACUCAUUUCAUUAGCAUUGUCCUCAUGCAAAUGGAUGUGUUCUUGAUUCACUUUAAAGCUUUCUUCAUCUACCACUUGAAGAUCAUUGGCUUGAUAUUGAUGAAAUAUGAUAAAUAUUCACUAUAUAUAACAAAGACAAAUAUAACAAGGAAUAAGAAAAAACAUGGUAAACAAAGAUAAAUAUCCUUCAGCAGACCAGCAGGAACAAAAUUUAGCUAGGAUCCCAAACAUAAUCAAUCCUCAACUGAACAAAUUUACCAACACAGACUAACAAAGGACUAAUACAGCAACCAACCACUACCUUCCUUUUUUUCCCCUAAUUAAGCAACCAGCCAGAUUAGUAUGAUCGGCUUCUCUGCUUAGCAGGAGGCAGAGCUUUGGAAUUAGAGGCCUCUUUCUAAUUAGCAUGUAACGAUAGGAUUAAUUCGCCGAAUAAUAAAGAGUUGGUGUACAAUUUGAACGAAUAAUUUAGUUGAGGGACCAAAAUGAAACUCGGGUAUAAGUUUGAGAACCAUUUGAGUAAAUAACCCUAUAUUAAAAUUAUAUUUGUUUCACAAUUCAAUAUAUCCUUUUUGGUAAUUUUAUAUUAGGAUAAAUUAGUAAUUAAAUAAAUAAUAUAUUUUAAAAAAUUUAAAUCUAUAAAAGAUAUAUAUUGAAACUAGCAAAUUAAUAUCUACAAAGUAUAAACUAAUGCAACUAUAGAAGAAUCCUUUUUAUUUAUUUUUUAUUAAAUUUAUAAAUUUUCUAUACUCCUUUUAAAUGUCAUAUACUUAAAGGUAUAGACGCCUAGCUAUACUACAGUUUUUUAUUUUAAAAAAAUAGUAUAGCAGCGCGGCUAUGUUGUUUUUGACAUGUGGAAGGUAGUGCUAGGCAUGUCCUCUUUUUAUUUUUAUUUUUUUAAAUAACUAGUAUAGACGAGCGCCUAUACUCUUAUAUAUAUAUUCACUAGCAAAUUAAUAUCUAUAAAGUACAAACUAAUACAACUAGGAGGGUUCUUUUAAAAAUAAAUAAAUAAAUUAUUAAAUAGUAUAGCCGUGGGGCUAUACCUUUUAAAUAUAAAUAGUAUAGCCGUGCGGCUAUACUACUUUUUUUACUAUAAAAAAAUAGUAUAGCCAUACGGCGAUACUUUUUAGACACAUGGUGCCUAAUCACUAGAGGGUCCUCUUUUUUCUAAAAAAUAAUAAUAAUACAGCCGCACGGCUAUACUCCAUGUUUUUAUGUGAAAAAUAGUGUCGCCGAACGGCUAUACUCAAUUUUUAAAUUUUUUUUAAAAACAGUAUAGCUGCACGGCUACACUAUUUUACACAUGGGCACCUAGGGCUGUGCGGCUGCUUUUUGUUUUGUAAAUAGUAUAGCCGCGCGGCUAUACUCGAUUUUUUUGCUAUUUUUUUUUGAAAAAAUAGCAUAGCAGGCCGGAUGUAUUGGUUUUUUUUUAAAAAUUCUCUUUAAUAAAUAAUAUAGACGAGCUAAUAUAGUCCUUUUAAUUAUCUUCCGCGUUGUGAGAGAUUUUUAAUUUUUUAAUUUAUUUUAGAAUUAAAAAAGAUAAUGGGUAGUUGUGUUCCAUAAAAAUAGGAUCAAUUAUCUGAGUUUUCUUUUAAUUAUAUAUAUUUUUUAAAUAUAAAAAAGUGAGAAUUUACCAUAUUAUCCUUAUUUAAUUAAUAAUUUCAAUUAAUGUUUGUAUUAAUCAAGAGCAUUUUCUGGUAUUUUGUAUGUUUCACUAUUCUCUGCAUUUUGCUUUCUAUAUAUAGAUAUAUAGUAUAGCCACGUGGCUAAACUCGGGAUUUUUUUUUAAAGAGAAGUGUAUAGCCUCGCAGCUUUCUUGGGGUCGUUUUGUUUUAAUUUUUUUUUUUAAUAAAUAGUAUAGCCGCACGGCUAUAAUCUUUACAUAGAUAUUAUGAAUUUUUUUUUAAAUUGUUUUUCUCUGAUUUUUGUUUAUCAAUAGUUUAGAGCAUUAUCUAUUACUAUUAGGCUAUUACCUGAGUCUCUAUUAUCCAAUUUUGAGUUUUUACUUUUCUAGAGUUAUUACCCAUAUAAAGAAUUUCGCACUUUAACGUUUAAUACUCGUUGUAUUUUUCAUGUUUAAUACACUUGGGUUUUUACAAAAUUUUCAAUAACACAUACAAAAUUCACGUAUUAUACACAUAAUUUUCGCAUAUUAGAGUUUGUUUAGCAGCACUCUAACUUUUUCACUUGACAUUGUAUUAUUCCCAUUACAAGAAAGUUUUUCUUCCACCUUCACGUGCAACUUUUCCUCAUAUACGCCUGCAGAAAAACGUCACCUCUUAUGUCACAUUCUUUUCUAGUGAAAAGAAGUCACACGAACCACUCACUCAAAGUUGAAAAUCAUAUAAAAAAAAUAUAUAUGUGUGUGUGUAUGGCACCGCAAAGACCACAAUACAUGCAUUUCAUGCGUCAGAGCUGAACUCACUUCUGUAUAAUACGUUUGCUACAGAAUUAUUGAGUAUCACCUCGAACGUACACACACAAGUCCUCACUUAGCCACAAACAACUGGCGGCAGAAAGCAGUGGCUGGUUUUGAUUGAGAAGGACAAAGAUCCUUUGUUUUUAGCCAAAAAAUCACAGGCUAAAAUUGUGGAAGGAAAUGAAUGGACUUGGGACAAGGAGUUCCUCCAGUUUCACACAUUUAACCCAUUUUCUAGCUCCUUUCCAAACAAUUCUUCUCUCUCUCUCUCUCUCUCUCUCUCUCUCUCUCUCACUCUCACACACACACACACACACACACACACACACACAAAUGGAAGUCUCAGUUGCGGCCGGUGUUGUACUACGUGUUGUUUGGGUGAGCGUAAUAAUUACAUGGGCAUGGAGGGUGCUGAACUGGGUGUGGCUGAGGCCAAAGAAGCUAGAAAGAUGUCUAAGGCAGCAAGGUUUGGCGGGCAACUCGUACAGGCUUUUGAUAGGAGACACGAAGGAAAGCUCCAUGAUGCUGAAAGAAGCAAAAUCUAAACCCAUGGACCUCUUCCAUGAUUUAGCGCCACGUGUCCUCCCCUUUGUUCAUCAAUCCAUGAACACUUAUGGUAUGCCAACUACAUCUUUUGACAUUUCAAUUUACUACUAGGGAUGGCAGUCUUCCCAAUUGGUAAGGGUCUUUGCAGGGCUUCGAUCUUAUGGGUUAGGUAUGAAGGAUGAAAAACAAGUAUGGUGACGAGUAUGAGGAAUUUUUCGGAUAUGGUGUUCUACCUCUAUAAUGAUGAUGUCUUGGACAUGUAUUAAUUAUUUGUUAAACGGUCUUAGAUUUUAGUUAAUAAAAAUUGAAUUGACAGAUAUGUUGUUCUCAUAGUGCUUUUUUCUCAUUCAACAAAGUAUUUUUUUUUAUUGGUUUUUUUUAAUUAUUAUUGGUUUUUUUUUUUUCCAUUAUGGGGUGAGUCACGAAUCCAUUCCCCAACAAAGGCAGGGAUGGAGAAAAAAUCCUUAACGGAAAUGAGGAUGGAAAUGGUAUACCUACCCCUGAUUUGACCCAUUGUCAUCCCUAUUUACUACCUUCAUAUGUACGACUAUAGUUAUCCUUCCAAAAAAUUCUAAUGUGUUAUCUCAUAUAUAUUGUUGGAUAAUUAAUUGAAACUGUUAAUUUUUAUUUAAAUGUGUGGAUCUAAUUUACAAUCUAGCUUUCUAGAUCAACAAUCACAUCGGUAUCCUUUCGUUCAGUAACCUUUAGAAACCAUCGAAAACCUCUGAUUCUUGAUAAAUGUAGGAUUUAUUUAUUUAUCUUUGUGGUUUAUCUUGGUAAUGGAUAUAUACGGUACCUGUAAAUAAUUAACUUCAUAUAUUUGCCAAUAUGUGUAAAUAGUUUCUUAUAAGUUUUAUUGUGAUAAAACAAAAAAUAAUGCAGGUAAGAAUUCUUUUAUUUGGAUUGGCCCCACACCAAGAGUGAACAUCAGUAAUCCAGAGGAUAUGAAAGAUAUAUUUGCAAAAUAUGAAGAUUUUCAGAAGCCAGUAAAAAAUCCACUGGUGAAGUUGCUAGCAACAGGUCUUGCAAACUAUGAGGGCGAGAAAUGGGCAAAACACCGUAAAAUCAUCAACCCGGCAUUCCAUUCAGAGAAGCUAAAGGUGUACUAUAUAUAUACUCUUGUCAAUAUUCAUUCAAAUAUCUGGAGAUUUAACAGUUAAUUUACUGAGUAAUUUCCAAAUACUCGUAUUGUACUGCGUAUGUUACCAGCAUUUUCCUUUGUUUUCUACAGCGUAUGUUACCAGCAUUUCACCAAAGUUGUAGUGAGUUGAUUGAAGAAUGGGAGAGCUUGGCGUCUAAGGAGGGUUCAUGCGAGUUAGAUGUUUGGCCUUAUCUUCAAAAUUUGACAGCUGAUGUGAUUUCUCGAACAGCAUUUGGGAGUAGCUAUGAAGAAGGAAGGAAAAUAUUUCAACUCUUGAAAGACCAAGCACAACUUACAAUAAAAGCUAUACAAAGUGUUUACAUUCCAGGAUGGAGGUAAAUAAAUAAAUAAUACAAAAAACCCUUUUGCGAUUAGACAGUAACUAUAGUUAGAUCAAUUAUUUUUACCAUUGAGGAAGUUGUUUGUUUGGUGCAGGUUUCUACCUACUAGGAUGAACAAGAGGAUGAAAGAGAUUGACAAGGAAAUAAAAGGUUCACUAAUGGGCAUUAUAAAUAAAAGAGAAGAGGCAAUUAGGGUGCGUGAAGCGACUAGAGAUGACCUACUGGGGAUACUUAUGGAUUCCAACUUGAAGGAAAUUCGAGAAAAUGGGAACACCAAGAACGUUGGGAUGAGCAUUGAGGAUGUGAUUGAAGAGUGCAAGCUGUUUUACUUUGCGGGUCAAGAGACCACUUCAGUGUUGCUUGUUUGGACACUGGUUUUGCUCAGUCAAAAUCAGGAUUGGCAAGCUCGUGCAAGAGAUGAGGUUUUGCAAGUGUUUGGAAGCAAUAAACCAGACUUUGAUGGGCUAAGUCACCUCAAAGUUGUAAGUAUUUACAAUAUAUAUAUCACUUCACACUUUUACUUUAAAAGAUUUCCUUGCAUAACAAGAAAGAAACAAAGAAAAGUAAUCAAAUAUAUUUUUAUGUUUCUCAUAUAAAAAAUAGGAAUAAAAACAUUUUCGUAAUAGUUAAUAAGCUUUCCACGUGGUACCUCAUUUGCCUAACAAUUGUACUAUCAUUUUUAGGGCCUGAAUAAGCGAAAAUUUUGAUUCAACUACUGUCACGUUAUCUAGUGAAUAAAAUUUGGUGAACACAUUUGGGGCUCCUAAUAGUAUUUUUCUUUUCUUGUUCUCUCUACUUUUGGUGAGAGAAGAGAAAAUUAACCUUUUCAUUAGCUUUUUUAGACCUAGCUAGCCUGUACAAUUUUGGAUGCCUUCAUAUCACUUGAUAUAAAAUAUGACUGUAUAAUGCCCCCAGGUAACCAUGAUUUUACUUGAAGUUCUUCGAUUAUACCCAGCAGUUGUUG